This 403-nucleotide long non-coding RNA is filed under the name Sorghum bicolor (sorghum). RNAcentral describes it as "long non-coding RNA (SBIC_LNC007171)". Lineage: Eukaryota; Viridiplantae; Streptophyta; Magnoliopsida; Poales; Poaceae. The record is from RNAcentral.
UCUGUUUUCUCAAUUGUCCUGAGGUUCGUUGGGUGGCGUAGUCGGUACUUCCGGUGGCGCCUCUUCUUCAUGUAUAGUUAUCUUCUAUUUCCAUACCUGACUCGGUGCUUCAAUCUCCUCUGGAUAAUUCUGUUUAAACUCUACGUCUUCUGACCUUACAACUUCUCCUUCGUAGUCUGCCCAUCCGUCCUUGAUGAUUUGCCUCCUCUAGUUGCGGUUGCGUCUCUUUCUGACCUGCUUAGAUUCUUCAACGAUAUAGUUAGGGUCAGUAAAAUAACGGCGUACCUUCUCUGAGGGGAAGUGCAUAUGGACUUCUCCGGUUCUAAUGUAGAUGAUUGCUUUAACGGUGCUGAAGAACGGUCUUCCAAGGAUGAUGGGUGGAUCGUACUCAUCUUCUCCCAUG